Molecule: long non-coding RNA, 543 nt
Organism: Bos taurus (domestic cattle)
Lineage: Eukaryota; Metazoa; Chordata; Mammalia; Artiodactyla; Bovidae
Source: Ensembl
AUAUGACCUUAAACAAAUAGAAGCACUAUUUGUCUCAGAUAACAGAAAGUCCAGAGACAGGUAGUCCAGGCUGCUGUCAAACUGAAUGGUGUCCCCCAGAAUUCAGCUCCUUCUACUGCUUUGGCCCUCCAUAUUUAGAAUGUGAUUGAAAGACCAAGCCUGCCAAGCCUCCAGAAAUCACAUCCUUGUUCCAGGAAAUAAAAUUGAGGAAGAGCAAGAAGGAGCCUACGAUACACCAACUACCUCAGAUUUCCUUCAGAAACCUUUCCCGGAAGCUGUACUCAGUGUGGUCUCUACUUUCUGCAAGGGCGUAUGGGAGUGCUUCUUUCAGGCCCUUGACCAGCCAGCCAGUGAUUCACUGCUGCUCAGAAGCAUAUAUCUCCAUCUUCGGCCACUUCUCACUCCAUCAAAUGCUCACAACUGAAAUUCCUGCUCAGAGCUCUGCCCACCAGGAGGACUUUGCUUCUAUACUGCAUUUUAAGGCCACCACUGCCUAGGGCUUUAGUGUGGCUGCAGUCCACUUGCAGCUCACACCAUCCUACC